UCACUUUCAACAACGGAUCUCUUGGCUCUCGCAUCGAUGAAGAACGUAGCGAAGUGCGAUAUGUAGUGUGAAUUGCAGAAUUCCGUGAAUCAUCGAAUCUUUGAACGCAAAUUGCACUCCUUGGCAUCCCGGGGAGUAUGCCUGUUUGAGGGUCAGUAU
This 159-nucleotide ribosomal RNA is filed under the name Rhizophagus prolifer. RNAcentral's name for it is "5.8S ribosomal RNA". It matches the Rfam family "5.8S ribosomal RNA". Rfam says of the family: 5.8S ribosomal RNA (5.8S rRNA) is a component of the large subunit of the eukaryotic ribosome. It is transcribed by RNA polymerase I as part of the 45S precursor that also contains 18S and 28S rRNA. Functionally, it is thought that 5.8S rRNA may be involved in ribosome translocation. Lineage: Eukaryota; Fungi; Glomeromycota; Glomeromycetes; Glomerales; Glomeraceae. The record is from RNAcentral.